This 722-nucleotide ribosomal RNA is filed under the name Pseudomonas sp. RNAcentral's name for it is "bacterial SSU rRNA". It matches the Rfam family "Bacterial small subunit ribosomal RNA", at positions 56 to 772 of the family's 1533-position model. Lineage: Bacteria; Pseudomonadati; Pseudomonadota; Gammaproteobacteria; Pseudomonadales; Pseudomonadaceae. The record is from RNAcentral.
UGCAGUCGAGCGGUAGAGAGAAGCUUGCUUCUCUUGAGAGCGGCGGACGGGUGAGUAAUGCCUAGGAAUCUGCCUGGUAGUGGGGGAUAACGUUCGGAAACGGACGCUAAUACCGCAUACGUCCUACGGGAGAAAGCAGGGGACCUUCGGGCCUUGCGCUAUCAGAUGAGCCUAGGUCGGAUUAGCUAGUUGGUGAGGUAAUGGCUCACCAAGGCGACGAUCCGUAACUGGUCUGAGAGGAUGAUCAGUCACACUGGAACUGAGACACGGUCCAGACUCCUACGGGAGGCAGCAGUGGGGAAUAUUGGACAAUGGGCGAAAGCCUGAUCCAGCCAUGCCGCGUGUGUGAAGAAGGUCUUCGGAUUGUAAAGCACUUUAAGUUGGGAGGAAGGGCAUUAACCUAAUACGUUAGUGUUUUGACGUUACCGACAGAAUAAGCACCGGCUAACUCUGUGCCAGCAGCCGCGGUAAUACAGAGGGUGCAAGCGUUAAUCGGAAUUACUGGGCGUAAAGCGCGCGUAGGUGGUUUGUUAAGUUGGAUGUGAAAUCCCCGGGCUCAACCUGGGAACUGCAUUCAAAACUGACUGACUAGAGUAUGGUAGAGGGUGGUGGAAUUUCCUGUGUAGCGGUGAAAUGCGUAGAUAUAGGAAGGAACACCAGUGGCGAAAGGCGACCACCCUGGACUAAUACUGACACUGAGGUGCGAAAGCGUGGGGAGCAAC